GAGUCGGUGGCUGAGUUUAAGCAUAGGGCUUUUAACCCUAGAACGGCAUAUAGCCCCCUCUCG
This 63-nucleotide transfer RNA is filed under the name Cryolaternula elliptica. RNAcentral describes it as "tRNA-Lys". The record is from RNAcentral. Lineage: Eukaryota; Metazoa; Mollusca; Bivalvia; Laternulidae.